RNAcentral lists this transfer RNA (74 nucleotides) under Pseudobacter sp. RNAcentral describes it as "tRNA-Ile". It matches the Rfam family "tRNA". Rfam says of the family: Transfer RNA (tRNA) molecules are approximately 80 nucleotides in length. Their secondary structure includes four short double-helical elements and three loops (D, anti-codon, and T loops). Further hydrogen bonds mediate the characteristic L-shaped molecular structure. tRNAs have two regions of fundamental functional importance: the anti-codon, which is responsible for specific mRNA codon recognition, and the 3' end, to which the tRNAs corresponding amino acid is attached (by aminoacyl-tRNA synthetases). tRNAs cope with the degeneracy of the genetic code in two manners: having more than one tRNA (with a specific anti-codon) for a particular amino acid; and 'wobble' base-pairing, i.e. permitting non-standard base-pairing at the 3rd anti-codon position. Lineage: Bacteria; Pseudomonadati; Bacteroidota; Chitinophagia; Chitinophagales; Chitinophagaceae. The record is from RNAcentral.
GGACCCUUAGCUCAGUCGGUUAGAGCACGAGACUCAUAAUCUUGUGGUCGCUGGUUCGAUCCCAGCAGGGUCCA